This 517-nucleotide ribosomal RNA is filed under the name uncultured bacterium. RNAcentral's name for it is "partial 16S ribosomal RNA". It matches the Rfam family "Bacterial small subunit ribosomal RNA", at positions 29 to 523 of the family's 1533-position model. The record is from RNAcentral.
AACGAACGCUGGCGGCGUGCCUAACACAUGCAAGUCGAGCGCGAAAGUUCUUCGGAAUGAGUAGAGCGGCGCACGGGUGAGUAACACGUGGGUAAUCUGCCUUUUGGCCUGGGAUAACUCGGGGAAACUCGAGCUAAUACCGGAUGAGACUACGCAACGAGAGUUGAUUAGGAAAAGCGGGGGAUCUCUUCGGAGACCUCGCACCUAAAGAUGAGCCCGCGUCCCAUUAGCUAGUUGGUAGGGUAAUGGCCUACCAAGGCGAAGACGGGUAGCUGGUCUGAGAGGAUGAUCAGCCACACUGGAACUGAAACACGGUCCAGACUCCUACGGGAGGCAGCAGUGGGGAAUAUUGCGCAAUGGGCGAAAGCCUGACGCAGCAACGCCGUGUGAGUGAUGAAGGCCUUCGGGUCGUAAAGCUCUGUCGGCAGGAACGAAGGGUGAGUGUUUUAAUAAAGCAUUCAUUUGACGGUACCUGCAAAGGAAGCACCGGCUAACUCUGUGCCAGCCGCCGCAGUAA